RNAcentral lists this long non-coding RNA (1332 nucleotides) under Oryctolagus cuniculus (rabbit). RNAcentral's name for it is "lncRNA (ENSOCUG00000037651.1)". Lineage: Eukaryota; Metazoa; Chordata; Mammalia; Lagomorpha; Leporidae. The record is from RNAcentral.
UGGAAAGUUACCGCGCCUGCAGCAGCGUUUUGAGUGUGUUGGUGUUGAGUCCCGCGUGCGCCUGUGUCUCCGGGACAGGGACUCGGUCACUUUUGUGGAAAGGCCUACGUGUGCAAGGAGCAAAUACUACAGAAAUUUCCUGGAACCUUGUGGGACAUGCCCAGGAGGGUCUAUGGCUCGGCUCCAAGGUGAUGGCAAGGGCAGAGUUCACAGCUCCAAGCUCAGCUUUCCUGGACAGAGAACUCCUUGUCAUUGGUGCCAUCUGCAGGGCAUUAAGGAAUUUGCCAGGAUGUAGUUGGGAUUGCGAGGGUGGAAAUGGCAUCCAUGGAUGAAAUGCUCUACCCCCUCCCCUGAUUAAGCUUCUGAGACUGAGCGAGUCCCUAAACCACAGCCCGAAUCCUCAGAAGAGCCAGAUGACCCACGUUCCCUUUGAUCUUGUGGCACACGGCAUUUAGGGCCUGAGGCCGGCAAGCCCAGACUCCUGGUACACUUCCCUUCUGCUCUGCAAUUAAAUCUACCAGCUGUGAAAGGAGGAACCAGGCGCCUCCCAUUUUAACAGUGACCUCAGGGAGGUGAAGAAUGCCAAGCUGCGAGGCAUUUCCUCAUUCUGGUGCUUAAAAAAAUUUCAAAAAAGGUGAGUGGUUGAGUGUGGAUUGAAGGUGUUGAUGUAGUUGAAGUUAAUAAUCAUUAUUAUUUUAUUGUCCUUGUCCUGGCUAAGUAAACUUUCCUUGUGCUUUUUCUUUUAUUUAUUUGAAAGACAGAGUUUCAGAGAGAGGUAGAGACAGAGAGAGAAAGGGAAGUCUUCCAUCCGCUGCUUCACUCCCCAGCUGAGCCGAUCUGAAGCCACGAGCCAGGAGCUUCAUCCGGGUCUCCUGUGUGGGUGCAGGACUGAAGCACUUGGGCCAUCUUUACUGCUUUCUCAGACACAUUAGCAGGGAGCUGGAUUGGAGGUGGAGCAGCUGGGACUCAAACCAGUGCCUCUAUGGGAUGCUGCAGGCCGGGGCUUUAACAUGCUGUGCCACAGCACUGGCCACAUAGUCUUUCUUAUUUCCAUUUCCUUUUGUGAUUAAAUAGCUCCUGGGUAGAGCUGAGUAUCACUGUCAAGGCCCUGGGGUGCCCUACCCUUCAUUCCCCUGAGGCUUGGACACAAAUCUCAAAGCCAACAAGUCCUUCCAGAUUCCAUCACUCUCCUUGCUAGCCCUCUGGAGAAGGCAAAAAGCAAAUUUGUAGAGCAAAAUGGAGAGUAUACUCAGAGGGCUCAGGGGCCUGAACAGUGACAGAGCAAUAGGUGAGAUGUCUCUUUGCUCUCUAGGCUCUCCCCUGAGCUGCAGC